CUUAUCUCCUUUCUUACUCUUUUUAUAAAUAUCUUCUUCGCGUUAACCUUGAUAGCACUUCAUUAUCUUAUCGCUUACUCUUCAAACUUUAUCUUUGUCAUAAUCUUGAUUUAUCGUCAUUUCCUUAAACGAAAUGUA
Molecule: unclassified non-coding RNA, 138 nt
Filed under: Aliivibrio wodanis
Lineage: Bacteria; Pseudomonadati; Pseudomonadota; Gammaproteobacteria; Vibrionales; Vibrionaceae
Description: putative sRNA
Source: RNAcentral